GGCGAGAUGGCCGAGCGGUCUAAGGCGCCAGAUUAAGGACCAGGACAUUCAAUGUCCACUGAUUCUGGUCCGUAAAGGGCGUGGGUUCGAAUCCCACUCUCGUCA
Non-coding RNA from Amanita rubescens, 105 nucleotides. The record is from the annotation of a GenBank genome assembly. Lineage: Eukaryota; Fungi; Basidiomycota; Agaricomycetes; Agaricales; Amanitaceae.